This is a non-coding RNA of Macaca mulatta (Rhesus monkey), 347 nucleotides long. The record is from RefSeq and is a predicted model, not a curated record. NCBI's taxonomy places the organism in Eukaryota, Metazoa, Chordata, Mammalia, Primates, Cercopithecidae.
UUCACAGAUGAGCAACUGAGAUGCAGACAGAUUGAGGAAAUCCCUCAAAGUCACACCAUGAGUUAAAUGGUGGAUCUGAAGUUUGAUUGGAGGCCUACUGCGUGCUGUGUUUAUUAUCUUACCACUCUGCGCUACUGAUUUUUCUAGAAGAACAUGGUCUUAAUUCUCCAGCAGAUGUUUGUCUAAGCACUCGCUAUGAGAAGACAGGGACCUGAGUCAGUCCAGAAGCUAUUGUUGAGGUCAGUGGAUUCUCAGAUUAAUCCAUCAAUGAGAAAAAUUGUGUGUACUACAAAAUGGACCAUUGGGUAUUGUGUUGGGAAAAAAAAUAAAAAAACAAGAAAACAGUG